GAUGAACGCCGGCGGUGUGCCUAAUACAUGCAAGUCGUACGCACUGGCCCAACUGAUUGAUGGUGCUUUCACCUGAUUGACGAUGGAUCACCAGUGAGUGGCGGACGGGUGAGUAACACGUAGGUAACCUGCCCCGGAGCGGGGGAUAACAUUUGGAAACAGAUGCUAAUACCGCAUAACAACAAAAGCUGCAUGGCUUUUGUUUGAAAGAUGGCUUUGGCUAUCACUCUGGGAUGGACCUGCGGUGCAUUAGCUAGUUGGUAAGGUAACGGCUUACCAAGGCGAUGAUGCAUAGCCGAGUUGAGAGACUGAUCGGCCACAAUGGAACUGAGACACGGUCCAUACUCCUACGGGAGGCAGCAGUAGGGAAUCUUCCACAAUGGGCGCAAGCCUGAUGGAGCAACACCGCGUGAGUGAAGAAGGGUUUCGGCUCGUAAAGCUCUGUUGUUGGAGAAGAACGUGCGUGAGAGUAACUGUUCACGCAGUGACGGUAUCCAACCAGAAAGUCAUGGCUAACUACGUGCCAGCAGCCGCGGUAAUACGUAGGUGGCAAGCGUUAUCCGGAUUUAUUGGGCGUAAAGCGAGCGCAGGCGGUUGCUUAGGUCUGAUGUGAAAGCCUUCGGCUUAACCGAAGAAGUGCAUCGGAAACCGGGCGACUUGAGUGCAGAAGAGGACAGUGGAACUCCAUGUGUAGCGGUGGAAUGCGUAGAUAUAUGGAAGAACACCAGUGGCGAAGGCGGCUGUCUGGUCUGCAACUGACGCUGAGGCUCGAAAGCAUGGGUAGCGAACAGGAUUAGAUACCCUGGUAGUCCAUGCCGUAAACGAUGAGUGCUAGGUGUUGGAGGGUUUCCGCCCUUCAGUGCCGGAGCUAACGCAUUAAGCACUCCGCCUGGGGAGUACGACCGCAAGGUUGAAACUCAAAGGAAUUGACGGGGGCCCGCACAAGCGGUGGAGCAUGUGGUUUAAUUCGAAGCUACGCGAAGAACCUUACCAGGUCUUGACAUCUUGCGCUAACCUUAGAGAUAAGGCGUUCCCUUCGGGGACGCAAUGACAGGUGGUGCAUGGUCGUCGUCAGCUCGUGUCGUGAGAUGUUGGGUUAAGUCCCGCAACGAGCGCAACCCUUGUUACUAGUUGCCAGCAUUAAGUUGGGCACUCUAGUGAGACUGCCGGUGACAAACCGGAGGAAGGUGGGGACGACGUCAGAUCAUCAUGCCCCUUAUGACCUGGGCUACACACGUGCUACAAUGGACGGUACAACGAGUCGCAAGCUCGCGAGAGUAAGCUAAUCUCUUAAAGCCGUUCUCAGUUCGGACUGUAGGCUGCAACUCGCCUACACGAAGUCGGAAUCGCUAGUAAUCGCGGAUCAGCAUGCCGCGGUGAAUACGUUCCCGGGCCUUGUACACACCGCCCGUCACACCAUGGGAGUUUGUAACGCCCAAAGUCGGUGGCCUAACCUUUAUGGAGGGAGCCGCCUAAGGCGGGACAGAUGACUGGGGUGAAGUCGUAACAAGGUAGCCGUAGGAGAACCUGCGGCUGGAUCACCUCCUUUCUAAGGAAUAAAACGGAACCUACACAUCGAAGAAAUUUUGUUUAGUUUUGAGGGGUUUACCCUCAGAGCUUGUACUUUGAAAACUAAAUACUAUCUAAUUUCUUUAUUAACAAAACAAUAAACCGAGAACACCGCGUUAUUUGAGUUUUAAUUAACGAAUUAUAAUCGCUAACUCAAUUAAUCAGACAAUCCGUGAUUGUUUAGGUUAAGUUAUGAAGGGCGCAUGGUGAAUGCCUUGGUACUAGGAGCCGAUGAAGGACGGGACUAACACCGAUAUGCUUCGGGGAGCGGUAAGUACGCUUUGAUCCGGAGAUUUCCGAAUGGGGAAACCUAAUCAGCUUAGUCGCUGAUUACUUGACUAGUGAAUACAUAGCUAGCAAGAGGUAGACGCAGUGAACUGAAACAUCUUAGUAGCUGCAGGAAGAGAAAGAAACAUCGAUUCCCUGAGUAGCGGCGAGCGAAAAGGGAAGAGCCCAAACCAACAAGCUUGCUUGUUGGGGUUGUAGGACUGAACAUCGGAGUUACCAAAGUGCGACGUAGUCGCAACAGUUGGGAAGCUGUGCCAUAGAGGGUGAAAGCCCCGUAGACGAAACGUCACACUCUCUGUUCAGGAUCCUGAGUACGGCGGGACACGUGAAACCCCGUCGGAACCCGCGAGGACCAUCUCGCAAGGCUAAAUACUCCCUAGUGACCGAUAGUGAACC
Molecule: ribosomal RNA, 2253 nt
Filed under: uncultured Lactobacillus sp.
Lineage: Bacteria; Bacillati; Bacillota; Bacilli; Lactobacillales; Lactobacillaceae
Description: partial contains 16S ribosomal RNA, 16S-23S ribosomal RNA intergenic spacer, and 23S ribosomal RNA
Rfam family: Bacterial small subunit ribosomal RNA (bases 1-1549)
Source: RNAcentral